UACGGGGGGGGCAAGCGUUGUUCGGAAUUACUGGGCGUAAAGGGCUCGUAGGCGGCCAACUAAGUCAGACGUGAAAUCCCUCGGCUUAACCGGGGAACGGCAUCUGAUACUGGAUGGCUGGAGUUCGGGAGAGGGAUGCGGAAUUCCAGGUGUAGCGGUGAAAUGCGUAGAUAUCUGGAGGAACACCGGUGGCGAAGGCGGCAUCCUGGACCGACACUGACGCUGAGGAGCGAAAGCCAGGGGAGCAAACGGG
This 253-nucleotide ribosomal RNA is filed under the name uncultured bacterium. RNAcentral's name for it is "partial 16S ribosomal RNA". It matches the Rfam family "Bacterial small subunit ribosomal RNA", at positions 524 to 776 of the family's 1533-position model. The record is from RNAcentral.